Molecule: transfer RNA, 72 nt
Filed under: Candidatus Omnitrophota bacterium
Lineage: Bacteria; Pseudomonadati; Candidatus Omnitrophota
Description: tRNA-Thr
Rfam family: tRNA
About the family: Transfer RNA (tRNA) molecules are approximately 80 nucleotides in length.
Source: RNAcentral
GCACUAGAGGUCUAACUGGCGAGACACUUCUUUCGUAAUGAAGAGAACGGGGUUCGAUUCCCCGCUGGUGCU